RNAcentral lists this ribosomal RNA (468 nucleotides) under uncultured bacterium. RNAcentral's name for it is "partial 16S ribosomal RNA". It matches the Rfam family "Bacterial small subunit ribosomal RNA", at positions 28 to 507 of the family's 1533-position model. The record is from RNAcentral.
GACGAACGCUGGCGGCGUGCUUAACACAUGCAAGUCGAACGGAAAGGCCCUGCUUUUGUGGGGUGCUCGAGUGGCGAACGGGUGAGUAACACGUGAGUAACCUGCCCUUGACUUUGGGAUAACUUCAGGAAACUGGGGCUAAUACCGGAUAGGAGCUCCUGCUGCAUGGUGGGGGCUGGAAAGUUUCGGCGGUUGGGGAUGGACUCGCGGCUUAUCAGCUUGUUGGUGGGGUAGUGGCUUACCAAGGCUUUGACGGGUAGCCGGCCUGAGAGGGUGACCGGCCACGUUGGGACGGAGAUACGGCCCAGACUCCAACGGGAGGCAGCAGUGGGGAAUAUUGCACAAUGGGCGGAAGCCUGAUGCAGCAACGCCGCGUGCGGGAUGACGGCCUUCGGGUUGUAAACCGCUUUCGCCUGUGACGAAGCGUGAGUGACGGUAAUGGGUAAAGAAGCACCGGCUAACUACGUG